AUCAACAAAGGCAAUUUAUUAAGAUUCUUAAUAUUCAAAGUCAACGUCUAUUUAAUUCCUGUAGCAUUUUGGGUAUAGGGUAACUUAAAGAAAAGGAUAAUUUACAAAAUAAUCCCUGCUUUUCUAAAAUGUAAUAAAUUAAUCCCUAAGUUUUUUUAUUAAUAGUUUAAUCCUUUUGCUAACUUUAACUCUAAUUUGCUAUUAGCGUUACUAGAUUGAAACAG
This 224-nucleotide unclassified non-coding RNA is filed under the name Hevea brasiliensis (rubber tree). Lineage: Eukaryota; Viridiplantae; Streptophyta; Magnoliopsida; Malpighiales; Euphorbiaceae. The record is from RNAcentral.